UACGAAGGGGGCUAGCGUUGUUCGGAAUUACUGGGCGGAAAGCGUGUGUAGGUGGUUAUCCAAGUUGGAUGUGAAAGCCUUGAGCUUAACUCAAGAAAUGCAUUCAGGACUGGGUGACUAGAGGACCGGAGAGGAUAGUGGAAUUCCCAGUGUAGUGGCGAAAUACGUAGAGCUUGGGAAGAACACCAGUGGCGAAGGCGGCUAUCUGGACGGUUUCUGACACUAAGACACGAAAGCGUGGGGAGCAAACAGG
Molecule: ribosomal RNA, 253 nt
Filed under: uncultured bacterium
Lineage: Bacteria
Description: partial 16S ribosomal RNA
Rfam family: Bacterial small subunit ribosomal RNA
Source: RNAcentral